RNAcentral lists this transfer-messenger RNA (368 nucleotides) under pig gut metagenome. It matches the Rfam family "transfer-messenger RNA". Rfam says of the family: Bacterial tmRNA, also known as 10Sa RNA or SsrA, is named for its dual tRNA and mRNA-like properties. Its role is to liberate the mRNA from a stalled ribosome. The record is from RNAcentral.
GGGUCCGUAAAGGUUUCGACGGGGAUUUUCAAGCAGGAUCAGCGUGGCGUGCCGAGCAAUCACGAUAAAGGCUCACCUUAAAAUUAAACGCUAACGAUAACGUAGCACUGGCUGCCUAACGGCAGUGCCGCGGCGUUUUCACGCCGCCCGUCUCCUUGCGGAGGACCACGGCCGCAAAGGAGGCGUCAUGCAGUGGUGAACAUGAACCGGGGGUUCGCGGUUGGACCGGUCAUGCAUAAAAGCGCUACCUGCGGGCGGAGGCUGUCUGUGGCCACCGCACAAAGGGAAUUUUAAAUUACAGACUGCCCACGGAGAAGGUCCUGCCGCGAGAUUUUCGGACAGGGGUUCGAUUCCCCUCGGAUCCACCA